AAAUUGAAGAGUUUGAUCAUGGCUCAGAUUGAACGCUGGCGGCAGGCCUAACACAUGCAAGUCGAACGGUAACAGGAAGCAGCUUGCUGCUUUGCUGACGAGUGGCGGACGGGUGAGUAAUGUCUGGGAAACUGCCUGAUGGAGGGGGAUAACUACUGGAAACGGUGGCUAAUACCGCAUAACGUCGCAAGACCAAAGAGGGGGACCUUCGGGCCUCUUGCCAUCAGAUGUGCCCAGAUGGGAUUAGCUUGUUGGUGAGGUAACGGCUCACCAAGGCGACGAUCCCUAGCUGGUCUGAGAGGAUGACCAGCCACACUGGAACUGAGACACGGUCCAGACUCCUACGGGAGGCAGCAGUGGGGAAUAUUGCACAAUGGGCGCAAGCCUGAUGCAGCCAUGCCGCGUGUAUGAAGAAGGCCUUCGGGUUGUAAAGUACUUUCAGCGGGGAGGAAGGUGUUGCGGUUAAUAACCGCAGCAAUUGACGUUACCCGCAGAAGAAGCACCGGCUAACUCCGUGCCAGCAGCCGCGGUAAUACGGAGGGUGCAAGCGUUAAUCGGAAUUACUGGGCGUAAAGCGCACGCAGGCGGUCUGUCAAGUCGGAUGUGAAAUCCCCGGGCUCAACCUGGGAACUGCAUUCGAAACUGGCAGGCUUGAGUCUUGUAGAGGGGGGUAGAAUUCCAGGUGUAGCGGUGAAAUGCGUAGAGAUCUGGAGGAAUACCGGUGGCGAAGGCGGCCCCCUGGACAAAGACUGACGCUCAGGUGCGAAAGCGUGGGGAGCAAACAGGAUUAGAUACCCUGGUAGUCCACGCCGUAAACGAUGUCUACUUGGAGGUUGUGCCCUUGAGGCGUGGCUUCCGGAGCUAACGCGUUAAGUAGACCGCCUGGGGAGUACGGCCGCAAGGUUAAAACUCAAAUGAAUUGACGGGGGCCCGCACAAGCGGUGGAGCAUGUGGUUUAAUUCGAUGCAACGCGAAGAACCUUACCUGGUCUUGACAUCCACAGAAGAAUCCAGAGAUGGAUUUGUGCCUUCGGGAACUGUGAGACAGGUGCUGCAUGGCUGUCGUCAGCUCGUGUUGUGAAAUGUUGGGUUAAGUCCCGCAACGAGCGCAACCCUUAUCCUUUGUUGCCAGCGAUUAGGUCGGGAACUCAAAGGAGACUGCCAGUGAUAAACUGGAGGAAGGUGGGGAUGACGUCAAGUCAUCAUGGCCCUUACGACCAGGGCUACACACGUGCUACAAUGGCGCAUACAAAGAGAAGCGACCUCGCGAGAGCAAGCGGACCUCAUAAAGUGCGUCGUAGUCCGGAUUGGAGUCUGCAACUCGACUCCAUGAAGUCGGAAUCGCUAGUAAUCGUGGAUCAGAAUGCCACGGUGAAUACGUUCCCGGGCCUUGUACACACCGCCCGUCACACCAUGGGAGUGGGUUGCAAAAGAAGUAGGUAGCUUAACCUUCGGGAGGGCGCUUACCACUUUGUGAUUCAUGACUGGGGUGAAGUCGUAACAAGGUAACCGUAGGGGAACCUGCGGUUGGAUCACCUCCUUACCUUAAAGAAGC
Molecule: ribosomal RNA, 1554 nt
Filed under: Salmonella enterica subsp. enterica serovar Typhimurium
Lineage: Bacteria; Pseudomonadati; Pseudomonadota; Gammaproteobacteria; Enterobacterales; Enterobacteriaceae
Also listed under: 1 other name
Description: bacterial SSU rRNA
Rfam family: Bacterial small subunit ribosomal RNA
Source: RNAcentral